This is a long non-coding RNA of Hyaena hyaena (striped hyena), 549 nucleotides long. RefSeq lists it as uncharacterized. The record is from RefSeq and is a predicted model, not a curated record. The transcript has 2 exons. NCBI's taxonomy places the organism in Eukaryota, Metazoa, Chordata, Mammalia, Carnivora, Hyaenidae.
CAGGGAUCAUACCGACCUCAGCGGAGUUCCAAGCUCACACCAAAAAUCUGAAAGGUCUGAAAGAGCUCCCAGCGUAUUCUUCAUGGAGUACAGAAAACUGAAAGAGGUGUGCAUGCACAUGCUGACAGCCAGACUAAGAGAGCAGUGCUGUCACAUUUCAUCUGCCAAAGGCGAAGAGAAAGGGCUGGAUGUGAACUUCAAGAUCAAGUCAUGCUUUUGAGACCGAACUCUGAGGACAUUCCUCAGGGCAACUAGGAGAAAAUGUCUCAGAAGUUUGCCCCAGCUCAAGAUAAAGAUGAAUCUUUCCUGGUAACUGAAGCCCUAAAUCAGAAGCAUAAUAAUAGCAUGGAUACAAGAAGGAGGAAAGGAGAGCCGCGGCCACCACCCAGGGCAGCUCACAGAAGAUCUCUUUCUUCCUGGAGGCUCAGGCUGCCUUUCCUCUGGGACCUCUGCCUUUCCUCGGUGUUUGCCUUUAUGCACCAGUUGACAUUUUGACUAUUUCCUAAGGCAUUCUGUGAGAAAUAAAAAUAAAAAUAAAUUGAAAGAGUA